Non-coding RNA from Peromyscus maniculatus bairdii (prairie deer mouse), 713 nucleotides. The record is from the annotation of a RefSeq genome assembly. NCBI's taxonomy places the organism in Eukaryota, Metazoa, Chordata, Mammalia, Rodentia, Cricetidae.
GUAGGAAGAUGGUGUCCACAUCUCAGCUCCUUGGGCUUCUGCUCUUCUGGGUUUCAGCCUCCAGAGGUGACAUUGUGCUGACUCAGUCUCCAGCCACCCUGUCUGUGACUCCAGGAGAAAGAGUCACCAUGACCUGCAAGGCCAGCCAGGGUGUUAGCAAUUACUUACACUGGUAUCAGCAAAAAUCAAAUGAGGCUCCAAGGCUUCUUAUCAAGUUGGCUUCCCAGUCAGUCUCUGGAAUCCCCUCCAGGUUCAGUGGCAGUGGGUCAGGGACAGAUUUCACCCUCAGCAUCAACACUGUGGAGCCUGAAGAUGUUGCAACUUAUUACUGUCAACAGGGUUACAGUGGAUGUCCCACAGUGAUACAGACCAUAGCAAAAACCACCAGGAAAGCAGAAGUGUGAGUUUGGGCUGCUUCAUCUGCUUCUGGUGAUGCCUCCAUCUUCUUCAAAGUGUUUUACAGAUGCAGCCAGAGUUGCCUCUGAACUCUCUUCACUUCAUUUCGGCUCCAGAAUACAUAGCCUACAAUGGAUGUGGUGCUUUAAUCAGACAAUCUUCCUACAAUGUACUACAAUCCAGAGAAAAUCUCAGCCUAGAUGCACAGUGGAAAUGAUUGACUCAAUGUUCUUAUAAUUGUGGGAAGUGCAUAUAAAGCAUUGCCUGAACUUAUAGCCUAUAGCGUACUCCUGUCCCCAGGGAUAUGAGAGCUGAAA